This 647-nucleotide long non-coding RNA is filed under the name Cricetulus griseus (Chinese hamster). Its description in RNAcentral is "lncRNA (ENSCGRG00000024361.1)". Lineage: Eukaryota; Metazoa; Chordata; Mammalia; Rodentia; Cricetidae. The record is from RNAcentral.
GGAAGGGGUGUGGUGGCUGUGGCUGCCCAGCUGAGAGCUGGAUUGGGGGAAAUCAGGAAGUCCAGGCUCCCUUCCAAAGCAAAUUGGAAAGAUCCGCAGCAGCCAGGGCCGUAAGACAAACAAGAGUCCCCAAAUGCAAGAGUAGCAGAGGAUGUUUCCUUUCUAUGAAAAGCCAGGAAGACACGGGCACAUGAGUACAACAAAACUACGUCAGAGAACCUAGGCCUGUGAGCUUGGCAAAGACUCAACAGUGAAGGAUGCUGUCACCUCUCCAGGACCAUGGGACGGAGUGGCACCUAAGCGGGGUGUGAAGACACCUGCAGACUGCCAGCCUGUCUUCCGGUAAAUUCAUCAUGGAAUCACAGCAUCCCCAUCAUGGUGCCCACAGAUCCAGUGGGAGAAGCAGGGAGGUCCACAGUUUCAGGCCACACGAAGGUGCACGUGUCAGGAUUAUCUAUAAGACCCUGGACAGGAGCCAGACCUGUCUUCUGCAGGACAGCACAGCCAUAGGUCACUCCAGGAAGCCCAUCUGGAGCCGCUGAGACAAUGGGAGGAGUUCUCUAGGCUUGUCUUAAACCUGUGUUUGCAGAGCAUACACACUGAUUUCAUUUAUAUGAUGUGCUAUAAAUCAAUAAAAAGCAAUCUUC